UACGGGGGGGCAAGCGUUGUUCGGAAUUACUGGGCGUAAAGGGUUCGUAGGUGGCCAACUCAGUCAGACGUGAAAUCCCUCAGCUCAACUGGGGAACUGCGUCUGAUACUAGAUGGCUUGAGUGCAGGAGAGGAACGCGGAAUUCCAGGUGUAGCGGUGAAAUGCGUAGAUAUCUGGAGGAACACCGGUGGCGAAGGCGGCGUUCUGGACUGCAACUGACACUGAGGAACGAAAGCCAGGGGAGCAAACGGG
RNAcentral lists this ribosomal RNA (252 nucleotides) under uncultured bacterium. RNAcentral describes it as "partial 16S ribosomal RNA". It matches the Rfam family "Bacterial small subunit ribosomal RNA", at positions 524 to 776 of the family's 1533-position model. The record is from RNAcentral.